UACAGAGGGUGCGAGCGUUAAUCGGAAUUACUGGGCGUAAAGCGCGCGUAGGCGGCUUUGCAAGUCGGGUGUGAAAUCCCCAGGCUUAACCUGGGAACUGCAUUCGAGACUGCAUUGCUAGAGUAUGGGAGAGGGAAGUGGAAUUUCCGGUGUAGCGGUGAAAUGCGUAGAUAUCGGAAGGAACAUCAGUGGCGAAGGCGGCUUGCCAGAACGCGCUCGACGGUGAGGGAUGAAAGCUGGGGGAGCAAACCGG
RNAcentral lists this ribosomal RNA (253 nucleotides) under uncultured bacterium. RNAcentral's name for it is "partial 16S ribosomal RNA". It matches the Rfam family "Bacterial small subunit ribosomal RNA", at positions 524 to 776 of the family's 1533-position model. The record is from RNAcentral.